UUACCUGUGUUUGUGCAGCUACAGCAACCGCGGAGUGGCCAGAUAAAGAAGCUAGGACUUUUUUCUUUUCUUUUUUUCUGCAAAAGAUGUGUUUGGAGAAAGUGGCGGUCUGGUGUUGCAGAUUACGGUAGGGCUGCGUUGUGCAGAAUGUUGUGAAUUGAGCCUCAGGGACCGCACGUUUUUCGGCAGGGCGGUUGCCGCAGGAGUGUGGGCUUUCGGAAAGCAGCAUCCUGUUGCGGCGCCUCCACGAGGAGUCCGCCAACCUGAAAAGCUGGAUGUUGGCCUCAGUGCAGAAUAUUGGAGAUGAGAACAGCAUCCCACCGUGAAGUCGGAUAAUGUCCGUGUCUCCAGUUGAAGGAGUACUGGACAGUGAUGAGGUUGCAGAGUGGCAGAAGAUGCCAGCAGCUUAGUGUUACAGAUGUCUUGAGUCACCUGUAAGGCCUGUGCACAGAGAUGCCACCUACCACUUCUGCUCAGAGCCUGUGGAGUGUUGGCCUUUGGUCAUAUGUGGACGCUCUCAUGCAUUUCCUGCUCUGGAGUCCUGUCCUGUGUCCCCAGGUUUGGGGACCACUGGAGUGCAGUUCUAUAGCUGGCAGCAGUGCAGCCCAGGAAGAGGUAAGCACAGUGAUUUAUCUUGGAGGACUAAGCUUCAGCUGCUUGUCAGAAUUGGUUUUGAGGAUAUCGAGUGAUGAAAUCACCAAAACUAGCUGGAAUUACCGGCAGAUUGGUAGUGGUGAACCUACGGUUUUCUGAAGGUAUCCUUUAUGAUUUGAAUGACUGCUUGUGGGAGCAGGCAAUGGGACUGAUACUUAGUUUCUUUGCAGGCAGAGGGCUGCAAGCUGCCGUUGAUUCUGUUUGACAAUCUCUGUGACUGGAACGUUUGCUACAGAAGAAACAAGCUGCUUCCCUCCUGUAUCAGAGGCCUUCUCAAGAGAACUGAUGCUACCCCAUUUUGCUCCAUUCAUGUCACUCUUUAUGUGUAUCUGAUGUUGAGAAGAUUUUAAAUAAACAUUUGUCACUUUUUCCAAGCGUCCUUGUGGAAGUGACAUCUUUAAACUCUGCAUGGCAAUCUCUGAAGCACUGCCAUGAUGUGCCUAGGGAAGAUAAGGCAACCUGGAAAUCCAGCUACUUCCUUAAGAUCAUCCAACUUUUGGAUGAUUAUCCAAAAUGCUUCAUUGUGGGAGCAGACAUUGGCUCUGUGAGAUGAAGCAGAUUCAAAGGUCCCUCUGAGGGAAGAUUGUGGUGCUGCUGGGCAAAAAUACCAUGAUGCACAAGGCCAUCUGAGGACAAAUGGAAAACAUCCCUGCCCUGGACAAACUGUUGCCUCAUACCCAGAGUAAUAUGGGCUAUGUGUUCACCAAGGAGGACCUUACUGGGAUCAGGGGUAUGCUGCUGGCCAAUAAGCUGCCAGCUGGGGCCAGGGAGCGAGCUCAGCAGCAUAAGCACCUGCCUGGCAAGUGCAGGGUCCUGAGUUGGACCCCCAGGACCGGAAAGAUAAAA
Molecule: long non-coding RNA, 1500 nt
Organism: Octodon degus (degu)
Lineage: Eukaryota; Metazoa; Chordata; Mammalia; Rodentia; Octodontidae
Exons: 6
Source: RefSeq, a predicted model, not a curated record